CAACGAGUCGCAAGCUCGCGAGAGUAAGCUAAUCUCUUAAAGCCGUUCUCAGUUCGGACUGUAGGCUGCAACUCGCCUACACGAAGUCGGAAUCGCUAGUAAUCGCGGAUCAGCAUGCCGCGGUGAAUACGUUCCCGGGCCUUGUACACACCGCCCGUCACACCAUGGGAGUUUGUAACGCCCAAAGUCGGUGGCCUAACCUUUAUGGAGGGAGCCGCCUAAGGCGGGACAGAUGACUGGGGUGAAGUCGUAACAAGGUAUC
RNAcentral lists this ribosomal RNA (262 nucleotides) under uncultured bacterium. RNAcentral describes it as "partial 16S ribosomal RNA". It matches the Rfam family "Bacterial small subunit ribosomal RNA", at positions 1240 to 1500 of the family's 1533-position model. The record is from RNAcentral.